UUAGUAGCGGCGAGUGAAGCGGCAAAAGCUCAAAUUUGAAAUCUGGCACUUUCAGUGUCCGAGUUGUAAUUUGAAGAAGGUAUCUUUGGGUCUGGCUCUUGUCUAUGUUUCUUGGAACAGAACGUCACAGAGGGUGAGAAUCCCGUGCGAUGAGAUGACCCAGACCUAUGUAAAGUUCCUUCGAAGAGUCGAGUUGUUUGGGAAUGCAGCUCUAAGUGGGUGGUAAAUUCCAUCUAAAGCUAAAUAUUGGCGAGAGACCGAUAGCGAACAAGUACAGUGAUGGAAAGAUGAAAAGAACUUUGAAAAGAGAGUGAAAAAGUACGUGAAAUUGUUGAAAGGGAAGGGCUUGAGAUCAGACUUGGUAUUUUGUAUGUUACUCUCUCGGGGGUGGCCUCUACAGUUUACCGGGCCAGCAUCAGUUUGGGCGGUAGGACAAUUGCAAAGAAAUGUGGCACUGCCUCGGUAGUGUGUUAUAGUCUUUGUCGAUACUGCCAGCCUAGACUGAGGACUGCGGCUUCGGCCUAGGAUGUUGGCAUAAUGAUCUUAAGUCGCCCGUCUUGAAACACGGACCAAGGAGUCUAACGUCUAUGCGAGUGUUUGGGUGUAAAACCCGUACGCGUAAUGAAAGUGAACGUAGGUAGGACCUCCUUUAGGAGUGCACUAUCGACCGAUCCUGAUGUCUUCGGAUGGAUUUGAGUAAGAGCAUAGCUGUUGGGACCCGAAAGAUGGUGAAC
RNAcentral lists this ribosomal RNA (734 nucleotides) under Lodderomyces orthopsilosis. RNAcentral's name for it is "Candida orthopsilosis partial large subunit ribosomal RNA". It matches the Rfam family "Eukaryotic large subunit ribosomal RNA", at positions 80 to 831 of the family's 3401-position model. Lineage: Eukaryota; Fungi; Ascomycota; Pichiomycetes; Serinales; Debaryomycetaceae. The record is from RNAcentral.